CCAAGUUCAAGCGAUUCUCCUGCCUCAGUCUCCUGAGUAGUUGGGAUUAUAGGUGCGUGCCACCACACCCAGCUAAUUUUUGUAUUUUUAGUAGAGACAGGGUUUCACUAUGUUGGUCAGGCUGGUCUUAAACUCCUGACCUCAUGAUCCACCCACCUCAGCCUUCCCAAGUGCUAGGAUUACAGGCGUAAGCCACCACACCCGGCCCUUUUUUCUUUUUUUGAGACUAUUGCCCAGGCAAAUGCAGUGGCGCCAUCUCAGCUCACUGCAACCUCUUCCCCCCAGGGUUCAGGUGAUUCUCAUGUCUCAGCCUCCUGAGUAGCUGGGAUUACAGGCCCCUACCACCAUACCUGGCUAAUUUUUGUAUUUUUAGUAGAGACAGGGUUUCACCAUGUUGGCCAGGCUGGUCUCAAACUCCUGACCUCAAGUGAUU
RNAcentral lists this long non-coding RNA (433 nucleotides) under Homo sapiens (human). RNAcentral describes it as "HSALNT0255978". The record is from RNAcentral. Lineage: Eukaryota; Metazoa; Chordata; Mammalia; Primates; Hominidae.